UAGGGAAUCUUCCACAAUGGACGCAAGUCUGAUGGAGCAACGCCGCGUGAGUGAAGAAGGUUUUCGGACCGUAAAGCUCUGUUGUUGGUGAAGAAGGAUAGAGGUAGUAACUGGCCUUUAUUUGACGGUAAUCAACCAGAAAGUCACGGCUAACUACGUGCCAGCAGCCGCGGUAAUCGUAGGUGGCAAGCGUUGUCCGGAUUUAUUGGGCGUAAAGCGAGCGCAGGCGGAAGAAUAAGUCUGAUGUGAAAGCCCUCGGCUUAACCGAGGAAUUGCAUCGGAAACUGUUUUUCUUGAGUGCAGGAGAGGAGAGUAGAACUCCAUGUGUAGCGGUGGAAUGCGUAGAUAUAUGGAAGAAUACCAGUGGCGAAGGCGGCUCUCUGGUCUGCAACUGACGCUGAGGCUCGAAAGCAUGGGUAGCGAACAGGAUUAGAUACCCUGGUAGUCCAUGCCGUAAACGAUGAGUGCUAAGUGUUGGGAGGCUUCCGCCUCUCAGUGCUGCAGCUAACGCAUUAAGCACUCCGCCUGGGGGAGUACGACCGCAAGGUUGAA
RNAcentral lists this ribosomal RNA (552 nucleotides) under uncultured bacterium. Its description in RNAcentral is "partial 16S ribosomal RNA". It matches the Rfam family "Bacterial small subunit ribosomal RNA", at positions 355 to 898 of the family's 1533-position model. The record is from RNAcentral.